UGCGCAGGCGGCCUGGUAAGUCAGGGGUGAAAUAUGACGGCUCAACCGUCAAACUGCCCCUGAAACUGCCAGGCUUGAGUCCGGGAGAGGAAGGUGGAAUUCCUGGUGUAGCGGUGAAAUGCGUAAAUAUCAGGAGGAACACCGGUGGCGAAGGCGGCCUUCUGGCCCGGUACUUGACGCUCAGGCACGAAAGCCAGGGGAGCGAACA
This 208-nucleotide ribosomal RNA is filed under the name uncultured bacterium. RNAcentral describes it as "partial 16S ribosomal RNA". It matches the Rfam family "Bacterial small subunit ribosomal RNA", at positions 568 to 774 of the family's 1533-position model. The record is from RNAcentral.